Long non-coding RNA from Mercurialis annua (annual mercury), 1112 nucleotides. RefSeq lists it as uncharacterized. The record is from RefSeq and is a predicted model, not a curated record. The transcript is spliced from 2 exons. Lineage: Eukaryota; Viridiplantae; Streptophyta; Magnoliopsida; Malpighiales; Euphorbiaceae.
UUUUAGAGGGAUUACGGGAUUAGCCCAAAUUAAUUAGAUAAUUACCACCCUAAGUUUGAAAUUUGAGAUUUGUCAUUUCAUCUCUUAUUAUUCGAUUUUUAACCUUUCUAAAUUCAAUUUUUAUACUUUCAAAAUGAGAAAAAUACGGUUCCAAAAUCUGAGAGAUUGUAUGUCGUGAUUCUUGCGAGAUUUUCACCUUCCUUUUCUCCAUUCAAACUCCAGUUUCCAUUUCUUUCAAACUUCCCAUUUCAGUAGUUUUUCAUAAUUUGAAUUCAGAAUGGUUUCAAUUAGGUCAGCCUCUUAAAAUCCCCCUGCAAAAAAUGAAGAAAUCAACACUUCGUUGCUUCGCCGGAGCUUCACUUUGUCUUCCUGCAUCAAUAAUCCAGCGGCUUCUCUUUAUUGCUCAGGCUGUUGCUUCGCCGGAGCUGAUGAAUUUCCAGCAGUGGUGGAAAAGUAGCUGCGAGUGGAAGAGAAAGACCUGGUACUUGGAAAUCAAUGCGAAAGGAGAUUUUGGUUAACCAAUGGUUUACUAAUGGUUAACCAAUAAUUUUAAUUUUUGAAAAAAACGAUUUAAAUUUUCUCUGAUGGUGGUCUUGAGUUUUGUUGGGUUCUUGAGUUUUGAACUCUAACUUAAACUUUGUCUUAGUGUGCAACAGUAUGUCCUGAUUUCAAGGUUAAAUUUAGUGUUUAUUUAAUGUAGAUAAUUAUUUUUUGGGCAGGUGCUUUGUGUAUUACCAGCAAAGUUUUUACUGAAUCAAGAUGAAAAAAAUGCUUGAGAAUAGGACGUUAUAUAUGUUUUAGGUGUUGGUUAACUAAUGGUUAACAUUAGGUUAACUGCUAGUUAAUUUGUAAUACAUUUUUUGGUGUUGCGGUCAUUUUCUAUUUUUCUUUUGUGAACGAUGAUGGUGAUGUGGUGGUGGUUCGAUUUUUUCGUGUUGCACAGCCUGCACUUUUGCUGUUUGAAGAAAUGUUUAUGAGAAUAUCUAUUUAUGUUUGCAAUAUAUUAGAUAUUGGUUAACCAAUGGUUAAUAUUAAAUAAACCGUUGGUUAACUUGUAAUAAAUUUUAUUUUAAGUAUAUCAUUAAUAAAAUGGUUAGUAAACUGUUGCUGAA